UUAUGUGGGCUACAUGUUAAAUGGCUCAUCGUUAAUGAGCCCAAAAGAACUCAAAUCAUGUCACCGUCGUCUCGGCUCUUCCACUUCAUUUGAAUCGAUUUGACUCGCUACAAAUUUCAGUUUUGUGUAUUAAUCACCAGAUUCACCACCCACUCCUACUCAUCAAAUAACAUUCUUGAAUCAUAUAUUCAAUUUUAUUCUUCACCCAAAUUCGUUUCUUUUUUUUUAAAUCAAUGGAUUAGCGACGCAAUCAAAAGCAUACCCCUCAGCCGCGUGGAUCCCGAUACUGGUAACGACGGCUGAGCCACAUAAACAGCCAAAUCAGUCUGGUUCUGAACAAGAAGAUAUUAGACUUACAAUUGCUAGAGCUGGCAUCUCGACAUGGCGCUGGGAAGAAUGUCAAUCAACAGAACGUAAAUCAACGGAGAUCACCAGAUGAUGCUGAAAGGGAGGCUAGAGAAAUGGUGCUUAGUCAAAUAUUGUUUUCCCACUCUCUCGAGAGAAGUAAGUCCCAUCUAAAAUGGUUUGAAGUCCAUCUACUUUUUCCUUUGUUCUUUAGUGAGUGUCAUCGAGAUGAUGCUAAUCUUCCAGAUUGUACUAUCGUUGCUCAUGUUUCCCUGUUGGAACCUUUAAAGAGUGCCUAGAGGAUGUUAUUUUGAGGGCUGCUCAAAUGGAACAGAUAGUUGAGAAGGUAAGAAUCCAGUCACCUUUUCAUGUCAUAGUUCACCAUUUUUUUCACAUCUUCAAGUUUCUACCCAGUUUCUCUGGUACUCCACACAUCUGAGAGACAUUGCAUUACUCUGUUUGUUUUCACAGGUUUGUGAGGAGCGGCUUAAUACUGGAGCGGUUUGUGAUUUAUGGGAUUACUUUCCAUCUGUGUCAAUCUUUAUGAUCUGGCACAAUCUUUUUGUUGGUUUCUUAUUUAAGCUACUUAUGCCCUUGAAACAUAAUAUAUUUGGAUGAAUAAAUUUUCUUUUCAGUCUUAUCUUCGUUAUUCUAAAUCUCUGGUUUGCAUCUCUGGAAAUUAAGAUUAUAUUUCUGCAGUUACUGAUUUGAGUGAUACAUUGAUGGAUUGGAUGGUAAAGGACAUACUCAGUAUAUAUAUAUUAUUAUUUAUAUACUUCCGUAUGAUACAUCUCCUUUUGGUAAAAGCUAUAAAGAUAUAUAUACCUUUACGACUUGCCAUCGUAAGUCUUUCCAUUGAUGUUUGCUUCAUGAGUCUACAUUUGUGUUUCCUUUUCAAAAGCUUAGUUCAUCGUAAAUAUAGGUUUUUAUCCUUCAUGAAUAAAUUUUAACUCUCACUUAUUUAUCUGCUUGGCUUCGACUGAUUCUAUUAUUAUGUAAACAUGUAGUUUUUCCCAAAUUCGGGUUACAUGUCAGUUGUACAAAGUUAAGGAGACAACAAGGUCAUGGUUUCCGAGGGCUACAUUUCUGCACCAUUUGGAGAUAAUAGCGCUUCUUCUUCUACUGCUGAAUAUACAAAAGGCUGCAAAAAGCUUUUCCUGUAAACCAGAGUAAUUUACCCAAAUUUGAUUCAUCUCAAUUUGGUCAAUCGGUCUGGAUCUGAAGGUGGUUCAAAGAAGCAUGCUGAGAAUGGAUUUAUGACAUAAGGUGGCUGUAAUAGCUCAAGCAGUAGAGCAUGAAAACAAUCAUGGUAAUUUCUUCGACUUUUGAAUCGCAUGUGUGAGCACUUUGAUCUUUUUUUUUUGGUUAAGCACAUUAAUCUUUUCUUAAUUUACACAUUAUUGUGAAUUGAACAAAUUUGGAGGGGACAAUGUCAGUAGAACCUGAUGUUAAAUUCGAUUAUCAUUCUUUGCUUCGUUCAAGCUGUUGAGUAGAUAAGGUAUUUGAUCAUUAUUUUGGGUAAGUGAAAAAGAUGUGGACGCAUACGCAACCUAGAAAAUGGUUGUCAAACUGUAUACUAAUAUGUGUUUAUGUUUGACUCUAGGCAUUGAAGAUGAAAGGAAGGUCUUCAAAAACACCACAGAAGAAGUAAGUCACAAGAUUCAAACACCACAGAAGAAGCAAGCGACAAGACUUGAAAGUGGCGACUACAAUGUAAGAAGAAAACUAAAGAAGUAUUUGUAAUGAGAGGAUUAAGAAAGUUUCUACGGUUUGUGUAUCCCUAAGGAUUCAGUUUGAUUUGUUUUGUUUUCGUUACCAAAAUGCUAUUAUCAUACUGGUGCAUUUAGUUAAAUACAAAUAGAUAGAC
Molecule: long non-coding RNA, 2212 nt
Organism: Brassica napus (rape)
Lineage: Eukaryota; Viridiplantae; Streptophyta; Magnoliopsida; Brassicales; Brassicaceae
Exons: 4
Source: RefSeq, a predicted model, not a curated record